RNAcentral lists this transfer RNA (86 nucleotides) under Enterocloster clostridioformis. RNAcentral describes it as "Selenocysteine transfer RNA". It matches the Rfam family "Selenocysteine transfer RNA". Lineage: Bacteria; Bacillati; Bacillota; Clostridia; Lachnospirales; Lachnospiraceae. The record is from RNAcentral.
UUGAUAGGUUGCUGGUGUGCCUCGCGGUCUUCAAAACCGUUGUGGGGGGUUAAGAGCCCUCUGGGUGGGUUCGAUUCCCACCUCCU